RNAcentral lists this ribosomal RNA (468 nucleotides) under uncultured bacterium. RNAcentral describes it as "partial 16S ribosomal RNA". It matches the Rfam family "Bacterial small subunit ribosomal RNA", at positions 28 to 507 of the family's 1533-position model. The record is from RNAcentral.
GACGAACGCUGGCGGCGUGCUAAACACAUGCAAGUCGAACGGAAAGGCCCUGCUUUUGUGGGGUGCUCGAGUGGCGAACGGGUGAGUAACCCGUGAGUAACCUGCCCUUGACUUUGGGAUAACUUCAGGAAACUGGGGCUAAUGCCGGAUAGGAGCUCCUGCUGCAUGGUGGGGGUUGGAAAGUUUCGGCGGUUGGGGAUGGACUCGCGGCUUAUCAGCUUGUUGGUGGGGUAGUGGCUUACCAAGGCUUUGACGGGUAGCCGGCCUGAGAGGGUGACCGGCCACAUUGGGACUGAGAUACGGCCCAGACUCCUACGGGAGGCAGCAGUGGGGAAUAUUGCACAAUGGGCGGAAGCCUGAUGCAGCAACGCCGCGUGCGGGAUGACGGCCUUCGGGUUGUAAACCGCUUUCGCCUGUGACGAAGCGUGAGUGACGGUAAUGGGUAAAGAAGCACCGGCUAACUACGUG